UUCUGUAAGCCUGUGAAGGUGAGUUGAGAAGCUUGCUGGAGGUAUCAGAAGUGCGAAUGCUGACAUGAGUAACGACAAUGGGUGUGAAAAACACCCACGCCGAAAGACCAAGGGUUCCUGCGCAACGUUAAUCGACGCAGGGUUAGUCGGUUCCUAAGGCGAGGCUGAAAAGCGUAGUCGAUGGGAAACAGGUUAAUAUUCCUGUACUUCUGGUUACUGCGAUGGAGGGACGGAGAAGGCUAGGCCAGCUUGGCGUUGGUUGUCCAAGUUUAAGGUGGUAGGCUGAAAUCUUAGGUAAAUCCGGGGUUUCAAGGCCGAGAGCUGAUGACGAGUCGUCUUUUAGAUGACGAAGUGGUUGAUGCCAUGCUUCCAAGAAAAGCUUCUAAGCUUCAGGUAACCAGGAACCGUACCCCAAACCGACACAGGUGGUCGGGUAGAGAAUACCAAGGCGCUUGAGAGAACUCGGGUGAAGGAACUAGGCAAAAUGGCACCGUAACUUCGGGAGAAGGUGCGCCGGCUAGGGUGAAGGAUUUACUCCGUAAGCUCUGGCUGGUCGAAGAUACCAGGCCGCUGCGACUGUUUAUUAAAAACACAGCACUCUGCAAACACGAAAGUGGACGUAUAGGGUGUGACGCCUGCCCGGUGCCGGAAGGUUAAUUGAUGGGGUUAGCGCAAGCGAAGCUCUUGAUCGAAGCCCCGGUAAACGGCGGCCGUAACUAUAACG
RNAcentral lists this ribosomal RNA (724 nucleotides) under Pseudomonas aeruginosa. RNAcentral's name for it is "partial 23S ribosomal RNA". It matches the Rfam family "Bacterial large subunit ribosomal RNA", at positions 1239 to 1947 of the family's 2925-position model. Lineage: Bacteria; Pseudomonadati; Pseudomonadota; Gammaproteobacteria; Pseudomonadales; Pseudomonadaceae. The record is from RNAcentral.